AAACCAUGGUGUGGACAGCUCCUCAAUAAAUCCUUGAAACAUUCGUAGUAAUUGUAUAGAGUCUCAUUCUCUUACUGAAGAAAUCCAGCUAUGUCAUUCCUCAACUU
Molecule: small nucleolar RNA, 107 nt
Filed under: Ricinus communis (castor bean)
Lineage: Eukaryota; Viridiplantae; Streptophyta; Magnoliopsida; Malpighiales; Euphorbiaceae
Description: Plant small nucleolar RNA R71
Rfam family: Plant small nucleolar RNA R71
About the family: R71 is a member of the C/D box family of snoRNAs containing the C (UGAUGA) and D (CUGA) box motifs. Multiple nearly identical copies of this snoRNA have been identified in Arabidopsis, and it is thought to function as a 2'-O-ribose methylation guide for 18S ribosomal RNA.
Source: Rfam by way of RNAcentral